Gallus gallus (chicken) is the source of this 4364-nucleotide long non-coding RNA. Lineage: Eukaryota; Metazoa; Chordata; Aves; Galliformes; Phasianidae. The record is from Ensembl.
CUCCUGGAAGGGAGCUCUGCAGACAAGGACCUGGCUGUCCUGGUGGACAACAGAUUGACACGAGCCAGCAGUGUGCCCUUGUGGCUGAGAAGGCCAAUGGUAUCUUGGGGUGCAUUAGGAAGAGUGUUGUCAGCAGGUUGAGAGAAGUUAUCCCCUCCGUCUACUCCUCUGUGCUCCCUAGUUCAAGAAAGAUAGGGAACUCCCAGAGAGAAUACAGUAGAAGGCUAUGAAGAUGAUUAAGGGCCUGGAGCAUCUCUCUUAUGAGGAAAGGCUGAGAGACCUGGGACUGUUCAGACUAGAGAAGACUAAGAAGAGGCUUAUAAGUGUCUAAAGGGUAGGUGUCAAGUGGAUGUGGCCACACUCUUUUCAGUGGUACCCAGUGACAGGACAAGGGGUAAUGGGCACAAACUGUAACACAGGAAGUUCCAUACAAAUAUGAGAAAAAAAAGCCUUUAAUUUGAGGGUGACGGAGAUCUCGAACAUGCUGCCCAGAGAGGUUGUGAAUUCUCUCUCUCUGGAGAUAUUAAAAACCCUCCUGGAUGCUUUCCUGUGAAGCCUACUGUACAGAACCUGCUUCAGCAGGGGGUUGGACUGGAUGAUUUACAGAGGUCCAUUCCAGCUCCUACCAUUUGUGAUUCUGUGAAACAAAUCAUUUCACUGCAGGAAAAAUGUUGAACAGGAGGGGUGGCAAAGCUUUGGAGCAUGAGCAAGACUGUUAUGCAGCCAUAAUACUGUAAACUAAGGGUUAAAGAAAUGGAAAACAUGCCAAAGCAAAGCCAGAGAUACAAGACCACAUAAUCCAUUCAGGUUUCAGAAGGGAUAACUCCAACCAUGCCUUGAAGGUAGUCAGACAAAGUAUGGUUUUUCCAUUAGCUCAACUCGUGCAAUUAAGCUUGCUCAGAGUUACAUACUUCUGCACAGUUCUGGCCACAGAAGUCAUUUCUUCAUGCUCAGACCUGUUUGCAGGAGGUGAAACUGAGCUGGGACAUUGGAGCUGCAGAGAAAACUCCUAAUGAAGCAAAACCGCAUGAGGUUGUUCUUUGCAGGGGGUGGACGGCUGGAUUAGGCAGUGUAUUAAGUAAUCCCUUGGGAUAUUUUUCAACUGUAAUUCACGUUCAAUCAACAAAUAUGGAAUAGAUUAACUGUAGGAGGGGUCAUAUAUUUCUUGUAAGUCACAAUCUUCUUUUAUUCGUGACUAUCUACAGUACAAUAUUUUUGAAGCACUGUUUUUUUUUUUGUGGUUGAUUUUAAUGCUGUCCAACCCAUGGCAGAUUUAACUGCCGGUUUGAUUUUCUGAUGAAUUUAUUUGCAACAGUACUGUUUAAAAAUGAAGGGAUUAAAAGGGCUAAUGUUGAAAAGACCUUUAUUUCUAGGAGGCUGGGAUAUAUGUAAACACAGAUUUUAAAACCAGGAUCUUAAUAUUAGCUCUGGAAAUCCAUAUAUAGGUGCUCAGUGUUUGGCUUGAUUUAAGUAUAUAGCUGCUCCCUCUGAUUUCACAAGAUCAAGAGAUGUUCAGACUCCCAGACUCUGAUUCUGGUGGGUAGGACAGUUGCUUUAAAGCACAGCCUCUAUGACAUUUUCUUCAGGUUCAGUCCCACACAGUAUCAGACCCUUAAAUUCUGAGUCCUGCAAAGGAAGGGGUACGUUUUGUUAGUUAAUCUUCCAGCAUAGCCUGUCCUGUGAUGCAAACAGGAGCACGAAACCACGUCGCUCAGAAAGUCUUCUCCUCAGUGCAUGUCUUGUAAAAUCAAAUUCCUGAAUACUCAUUUCUGAACCUAGUGUAUCCGGAGCUUGUACUUUUUUAUUAGACCAAAUGUUUCAAAGGUUUUGCAUUAUAAACAUAAGACUUGAGUGGAUUUUCAGUUCCUCAUUCAAGGCUUCCAGUGCCUUGUCUCUCCAGCUGAGCUGCUCCUUCACGUGGGAAGUACCCGCCUGCCACACGUGGAAAUUUCCUAUGUGUAGCAAUUACAUUCCUGAGGAUGUCCAGCAUUGUCCUGAGCUGAACCGCUCGUGCCUUGCUGCUGCCUAAACCAAGUGCACAAAGCAACUCCAGCAGCUCUGCUUGCAGCUCAUUGGAGAUGAUGCUGAAGGGAGAGGACAUCUGAUAAAAUGCAGCAAUGGCCACAGGCUUUGAAAGAGCGGUGGCCUGAAAGCCUCUUCCCCAUACAUCCCCCCAUGUGAACCAUCCUAGUUCCUGGCUAUUAAUUCCAAACAAGCUUCGUCCAAACUGAGCCCUGCUGCUCCCAGUGACAUUCUAGAGAUGGCAGCCCCUGAGUUUCUUUAUACAGAAUGAGAGAAUUGGCUAAGAUUUAUUUUAAUCGAGUGUGACUCAGAAAAGUAGAUAGCUGUGUUACCAAGAAUGCUGUGGUGUUGAACAGAGGUGGGUAUCUACUAAAAAUAUUUUCAGAUUGCAAUUGAUACAUGCUGGGGAAUGUUAAAUCAUGCUAGUACCCACUAACAGUGCUGGAGGGGAGGUUUGAGAUUGCCUCCAAAUGUUGAUAAGACACAUAAACAUAAUAAUAAUUAAAAAGAUUAAAGUCAGACGGGGAUCUGGGAAUCUAAGGAAAAAACUGCCAGUGAUACAACAAGCUGCACAGCAGCUUCUAGGAGGGAAAUCCUCUUUUAAAUGGCAUUCAAACAAACAUUAGGGAGUAGGAUGCUGGGAACAGCCUGCUAUGAGGUGGGAAGACCUUGUGUCAGUUUGCUAAUUUGUUUCUUCUCCCAUACUUUGCUUGCUCCCUCGUGUUGUGGGACAUUCAAAUAUCUCGCUUCCAGACCUUGCAAAAUAUUCAAAUGUUUGCACUUAGCACUCAUAUAACUCUAACUCUGCAAUUAUUGGAUCUGACAUGCAAAGAUACUGACACUGCAUUUUAGGAUUUCUAAAACAAACACUUGAAAUCUGUCCACUCUCAUGGUCUCUGUGCACUGUAACAUACCUACACCUGGUGACGCAGUGUCUGAUCAACAGUAGCCCCAUUCUGUGCAUGGCACAGGACCCACCACUUUUCCAGCAGCUGCUCAUAGCAUUGAUUUUAUCCACUUUUUUUUGUGUGAACACCUCAAAGGACCAAUGGUGAGAGAGGGGGCUUUAAGAAGUAGGGAGGAUGGAGUGGAGGGUCAUGGGGAGAGUUCACAGAAGGAUUAGAUUUAGUUCUGGGGGAUCUACAGAGCGAACAAGCACACAGUUUUUAUGGGGAAGAUGUGGGCAGCUUAAUCUGAAGCUUUGCUGGCAGUGGGUGACCCACUCCUGGAUUCAGCUGUGCGUCUUUUACAAGUCCUUUCCCUUGACAUAAACCUGCAGUGCACCCCAGGCUGUAAGGGGCUCAAAGCCAACCGGAGAAGAUGACCUCCAGAGAGCUCAGUGGUUAAAAGUGUGAGCGAGUUGCACACAGUGCUGAGCAUACACAAAGAUCUCUCCAAGAUUUAUGACCUGACCAAACCCAGCUGGAAUUUGGUAGGGAUGGAUGAACGUAUUCACUUUAAAAAAGCCUUUCUUCCCUGAUCCCCCAAAUCCAAUCUCUUGCUUCGAAGGUAUAGUAUAAUCCUGUGAUUUGUUCAUGGAAAGGACAGAGGAAUGUGUAUAACAUCAGUACAGCGCAGUAUUCACCCUUUGUUUUAUUCUGAAAAAAAUGGUUGGCAUAUUUUGACUUAACUUAAAAAUAGAUUUAAAAUAUCCAUGCUUCCAGCACAAAAAUGGCCACUGAAAAGUAAUGAAGUAAAAUGGCCAUUCUGUCAGAGCAGUAGACAGCAAAAAUGAAGACCUUAGAAUGGAAAGUGUUAUUUAACUCUGUAAUGAAAUAAAGCAGCCCUCCAAGGGAGCUGCCUUUGAGCAGCUACAGCUGCAGCAUUUGCAGCAUCCCUGUAUCACAGUGAUAAACUCCUUCAUCCCCCUAUCUCCAGCACAGCUACAGCAAUAUCUAGAUUUCAGGUGUGCUAAAUAUUGACACAUCCUGUGCUAAAUAUUUUAUAUCCCGUCAAGUAGGAAACUUCAAAAACACUUUAAAAAUCACUUUAAAUUUAUAAUACUGAAUUGUGUUUAAAAAAGUAUCCUACAGACCCAUGUCAAAAAUGAAAGGCUCUGAUGUUCGUAUCUGGAUGCACAUAUUGAAAACUACCUGUGCUCUAGCAAAGCUGGCCUGGGUUUGGAAGUGGCUUAGGGCACCAGAUUGGAAGUUAGGGCUCUUUGGAUUUGUAGUUAAAUUCCUAACUGCAGAUGAAAGCACUCCAGCUAGCAAAUUCUGGUGAAGGACUUUGAAAGUGAAGAAAAUAACCCUAUCCAUUACUGAAUAGCACUAUUAGAUGAUUAGAAAGGGCUCAACACCACCUUGUUAUCUGCACAUGACCUCUCCUGAGGCAUUCGUGGC